GAUGAAGAACGCAGUGAAAUGCGAUAAGUAAUGUGAAUUGCAGAAUUCAGUGAAUCAUCGAAUCUUUGAACGCACAUUGCGCCCAUUAGUAUUCUAGUGGGCAUGCCUGUUCGAGCGUCAUUAAGUCCACUUAAGCCCUGCUUAGUGUUGGGAGACUGCUCCAGCGGUGCUACCCUGUAGCUACCCUGCAGCUCCUCAAAGACAGCGGCGGAGUUGUGGUAUCCUCUGAGCUUAGUAACUUGUUCUAGCUUUCGAGUACACCACUUCCCCUGCCGUAAAACCCUCAAUUUUUAAUGGUUGACUUCGGAUCAGGUAGGAAUACCCGCUGAACUUAAGCAUAUCAAUAAGCGGAGGA
RNAcentral lists this unclassified non-coding RNA (355 nucleotides) under soil metagenome. Its description in RNAcentral is "partial contains 5.8S ribosomal RNA, internal transcribed spacer 2, and large subunit ribosomal RNA". The stretch from base 1 to 120 matches the Rfam family "5.8S ribosomal RNA", at positions 35 to 154 of the family's 154-position model. The record is from RNAcentral.